RNAcentral lists this ribosomal RNA (503 nucleotides) under uncultured bacterium. RNAcentral describes it as "partial 16S ribosomal RNA". It matches the Rfam family "Bacterial small subunit ribosomal RNA", at positions 30 to 523 of the family's 1533-position model. The record is from RNAcentral.
AUUGAACGCUGGCGGCAGGCUUAACACAUGCAAGUCGAGCGGGGUGAUGGUGCUUGCACUAUCACUUAGCGGCGGACGGGUGAGUAAUGCUUAGGAAUCUGCCUAUUAGUGGGGGACAACAUCUCGAAAGGGAUGCUAAUACCGCAUACGUCCUACGGGAGAAAGAAGGGGAUCACUUGUGACCUUGCGCUAAUAGAUGAGCCUAAGUCGGAUUAGCUAGUUGGUGGGGUAAAGGCCUACCAAGGCGACGAUCUGUAGCGGGUAUGAGAGGAUGAUCCGCCACACUGGGACUGAGACACGGCCCAGACUCCUACGGGAGGCAGCAGUGGGGAAUAUUGGACAAUGGGGGGAACCCUGAUCCAGCCAUGCCGCGUGUGUGAAGAAGGCCUUAUGGUUGUAAAGCACUUUAAGCGAGGAGGAGGCUCUUUUGGUUAAUACCCAAGAUGAGUGGACGUUACUCGCAGAAUAAGCACCGGCUAACUCUGUGCCAGCCGCCGCGGUAA